ACGGAGCGCCUGGACUGUCCUGAGACAGUUGACGAGGACCGGACUUAUCGAAAUAUUCGGCGGAUGGUCCGGAGGCCGGGUACGGCCUGAACAAUGGGUAAAAACAGUUCGCGAGAGCUGAACAGAGC
RNAcentral lists this non-coding RNA (128 nucleotides) under uncultured Bulleidia sp. Its description in RNAcentral is "glmS glucosamine-6-phosphate activated ribozyme". It matches the Rfam family "glmS glucosamine-6-phosphate activated ribozyme aptamer", at positions 12 to 150 of the family's 167-position model. Rfam says of the family: This entry contains a glucosamine-6-phosphate activated ribozyme that is found in the mRNA for GlmS. Lineage: Bacteria; Bacillati; Bacillota; Erysipelotrichia; Erysipelotrichales; Erysipelotrichaceae. The record is from RNAcentral.